CGUGUAGGCGGGCAUUCAAGUCGGUUGUGAAAUCCCCCAGCUCAACUGGGGAACUGCAUCCGAUACUGUUUGUCUUGAGGACGAGAGGGGAGAGUGGAACUUCUGGUGGAGCGGUGAAAUGCGUAGAUAUCAGAAGGAACGCCGGUGGCGAAAGCGACUCUCUGGCUCGUAUCUGACGCUGAAACGCGAAAGCUUGGUAGCAAACG
RNAcentral lists this ribosomal RNA (206 nucleotides) under uncultured bacterium. RNAcentral describes it as "partial 16S ribosomal RNA". It matches the Rfam family "Bacterial small subunit ribosomal RNA", at positions 568 to 774 of the family's 1533-position model. The record is from RNAcentral.